This is a ribosomal RNA of 258 nucleotides. It matches the Rfam family "Bacterial large subunit ribosomal RNA", at positions 1 to 256 of the family's 2925-position model.
AGAUUAAGUUAUUAAGGGCGCACGGUGGAUGCCUUGGCGCUAGAAGCCGAUGAAGGACGUUACUAACGACGAUAUGCUUGGGUAGCUGUAAGUAAGCGUUGAUCCAGAGAUUUCCGAAUGGGGGAACCCAACACGAGUUAUGUCGUGUUAUCGACAAGUGAAUUCAUAGCUUGUCAGAAGGCAGACCCGGAGAACUGAAACAUCUUAGUACCCGGAGGAAGAGAAAGAAAAUUCGAUUCCCUGAGUAGCGGCGAGCGA